CAAUCUGCCCUUCACUCUGGGACAAGCCCUGGAAACGGGGUCUAAUACCGGAUAGCACUUCCACGGGCAUCUGUGGGGGUUGAAAGCUCCGGCGGUGAAGGAUGGGCCCGCGGCCUAUCAGCUUGUUGGUGAGGUAAUGGCUCACCAAGGCGACGACGGGUAGCCGGCCUGAGAGGGCGACCGGCCACACUGGGACUGAGACACGGCCCAGACUCCUACGGGAGGCAGCAGUGGGGAAUAUUGCACAAUGGGCGCAAGCCUGAUGCAGCGACGCCGCGUGAGGGAUGACGGCCUUCGGGUUGUAAACCUCUUUCAGCAGGGAAGAAGCGAAAGUGACGGUACCUGCAGAAGAAGCGCCGGCUAACUACGUGCCAGCAGCCGCGGUAAUACGUAGGGCGCAAGCGUUGUCCGGAAUUAUUGGGCGUAAAGAGCUCGUAGGCGGCUUGUCACGUCGGGUGUGAAAGCCCGGGGCUUAACCCCGGGUCUGCAUUCGAUACGGGCUAGCUAGAGUGUGGUAGGGGAGAUCGGAAUUCCUGGUGUAGCGGUGAAAUGCGCAGAUAUCAGGAGGAACACCGGUGGCGAAGGCGGAUCUCUGGGCCAUUACUGACGCUGAGGAGCGAAAGCGUGGGGAGCGAACAGGAUUAGAUACCCUGGUAGUCCACGCCGUAAACGGUGGGAACUAGGUGUUGGCGACAUUCCACGUCGUCGGUGCC
RNAcentral lists this ribosomal RNA (713 nucleotides) under Streptomyces sp. R1O45. Its description in RNAcentral is "bacterial SSU rRNA". It matches the Rfam family "Bacterial small subunit ribosomal RNA", at positions 122 to 847 of the family's 1533-position model. Lineage: Bacteria; Bacillati; Actinomycetota; Actinomycetes; Kitasatosporales; Streptomycetaceae. The record is from RNAcentral.